Molecule: ribosomal RNA, 612 nt
Filed under: uncultured Methanosaeta sp.
Lineage: Archaea; Methanobacteriati; Methanobacteriota; Methanomicrobia; Methanotrichales; Methanotrichaceae
Description: bacterial SSU rRNA
Rfam family: Archaeal small subunit ribosomal RNA
Source: RNAcentral
CGGCUCAGUAACACGUGGAUAACCUACCCUUGAGACGGGGAUAAACCCGGGAAACUGGGUAUAAUACCCGAUAGAUCUCGACUGCUGGAAUGCAUCGAGCCUGAAAGCUCCGGCGCUCAAGGAUGGGUCUGCGGCCUAUCAGGUAGUAGUGGGUGUAGCGUACCUACUAGCCUACGACGGGUACGGGUUGUGAGAGCAAGAGCCCGGAGAUGGAUUCUGAGACACGAAUCCAGGCCCUACGGGGUGCAGCAGGCGCGAAAACUUUACAAUGCUGGAAACAGCGAUAAGGGGACCUCGAGUGCCAGGUUACAAAUCUGGCUGUCGUGAUGCCUAAAAAGCAUUGCAUAGCAAGGGCCGGGCAAGACCGGUGCCAGCCGCCGCGGUAACACCGGCGGCUCGAGUGGUAACCGUUAUUAUUGGGUCUAAAGGGUCUGUAGCCGGCCGGAUAAGUCUCUUGGGAAAUCUGGCAGCUUAACUGUCAGGCUUUCAGGAGAUACUGUCUGGCUCGAGGCCGGGAGAGGUGAGAGGUACUUCAGGGGUAGGGGUGAAAUCUUGUAAUCCUUGAAGGACCACCAGUGGCGAAGGCGUCUCACCAGAACGGACCUGACGGCA